Long non-coding RNA from Drosophila montana, 1049 nucleotides. RefSeq lists it as uncharacterized. The record is from RefSeq and is a predicted model, not a curated record. NCBI's taxonomy places the organism in Eukaryota, Metazoa, Arthropoda, Insecta, Diptera, Drosophilidae. The transcript is spliced from 2 exons.
UUUUGACAAAAAGUCAGUAACUAGAAAACAAAAAUGUUAAUUUAAAAUAAGUUAAGAAAGGCUCUCAUUUAUUUUUUGUCACUAUUCAUUUCUUAUAUCCUUAUAUCAAGAUCCUUACUUCUUUCUAAACGUCUUCCUACGCCAAAUGUAAAUACUUGGAAAUUCAACAAAUUGAAAAACAUGCGAUGAGCUCGUGCAUGGCCCAAAUAUUGCCCACAUUUUUCUCUAGAAAUGCGAUGGCAAUGCGCAUUUGGUUAAGAAAAAUACCAAACUUGAAGCAAUCGACCACAAGACAAGUGUCUGGCCAUGAUGAUGAUUGAGCUGAUGGCGAUGAUGAUGAUGUGACUGUAUCCGUGUGUAUUUGUGUGUGUUGUUGUUGCUGUGGUCGCCCCAAAUCAUUAAUUUGAGAAAACGUGACUUUUUUGCCAUAUUUUGAAUUCUAAUUCCACUCAUUAGUCGGCGCUGUCGCCGUUGCCAUUCUAAACAUAACUUCAAAAGGUGCAGACUGCACUUGUGACACGUUUCGUAAUCUCUUGGCUGGGUUGGCUGCCUGCUCGGGUUGGCUGGCAAAGCCUUUUUCGCAAUUUUCCAUAAGCAGGCAACAACAUACAUUGCACUAGAAGAUGUGCAGCUGUGACUGCCAAGAUGCCGCAGCCGAGCAGCAGAUACAGAUACAGAUGCUAACGCUAACCUGCAGCUAAGUACACCUGUAACAAACAGAAAGUUAUUUCAGCCACAGCUGAGCGGCUUUUAAAAACAAAUCGUAGGGUGAAGCCAGCGAGAGCCAGCGAGGACAACAGCCAAGCAGCCAGUACAACAGGCGCAGGAGAAGGCAGCACCCAAACAAGGAUAAGCGCCAGGCAAGCGUAAAGAUACAUAUAAAAGAGGUUUUCGUUUGCAAAUGCGACGCAGCAAGGUGUACGCUGUAUACAAACAAACCAAUCCCACACACACACACAGACAUGGAAAGAGACAGUCACACACACACACACACACACACUCGUAACUUGAAGAAGAAACAAAUAAAAAUGGCGAAAUAAAGCAGAAAA